UAUAAUAGGUGCUCUGUGCAUAAAGAGAGGGAGGAGACUCGAACAUCAAUUCGGGGAGCGUUUCAGCAUGAAAAAAGGCUUGAGGAGGAGAUCGGAAACUCGGUAAAAAGGCUUGGGAUGAUGGAGCUGAGCAAGAGAGUGUAGGAAGUCCGUGCCCGUGUGAAACUGCUGAAUUCCUGCAUGGCAAAGCAUGCCAUUACAAAGGUGGGAGCAGGGGUGGGAACGAAUGGGUCGGUGGAGUUGUGAGCAGGCUGAGGAGAGUUUACAUUAAUCGGCUCGGGAAAUCGAUAAAUGUUGGGCUUGCGCUUACUGCGUUUAUAUUCCUUUUUCAGCGAGACUGAGCUCUGUGGGAGCACAAACAGAAGGGAGAGAUGCCUGUGGUGUGGCCAACUCUUCUGGAUCUCAGCAGAGAUGAAUGCAAGAGGAUCCUUCGCAAACUGGAACUGGAGGCAUAUGCAGGUGUCAUCAGUGCCUUACGUGCACAGGGAGACCUUACGAAAGAGAAGAAGGAUCUUCUUGGAGAACUCUCUAAAGUGCUUAGUAUUUCAACGGAGCGACAUCGUGCUGAAGUUCGGAGAGCAGUAAAUGAUGAACGACUAACGACUAUUGCACACAAUAUGUCUGGACCAAAUAGCUCUUCGGAAUGGUCUAUAGAAGGUCGUCGACUGGUGCCGCUGAUGCCACGGCUUGUUCCACAAACAGCUUUUACUGUUACCGCUAAUGCUGUUGCCAAUGCAGCUGUUCAGCACAACGCAUCUCUUCCAGUUCCUGCAGAAACUGGAAACAAAGAAGUGGUGGUUUGCUAUUCCUACACAAGUACCACUUCAACCCCAACAUCUACCCCUGUUCCAAGUGGCAGUGUAGCGACAGUGAAGUCCCCCAGACCCGCCAGUCCAGCCUCCAAUGUAGUCGUCUUGCCAAGUGGAAGUACUGUUUACGUCAAAAGUGUCAGCUGCUCAGAUGACGAUGAAAAGCCCCGCAAAAGACGGCGAACAAAUUCUUCUAGUUCUUCCCCUGUUCUCCUGAAAGAAGUCCCGAAGGCAGUGACUCCUGUCACAAAAACCAUCACAGUGCCUGUAAGUGGCAGCCCCAAGAUGAGUAAUAUAAUGCAGAGCAUUGCCAACUCCUUACCACCACACAUGUCGCCUGUGAAAAUAACCUUCACUAAGCCCUCAACACAGACAACAAACACGACAACACAGAAGGUGAUAAUAGUAACCACCUCUCCAAGCUCAACUUUUGUACCCAACAUCCUUUCAAAGUCCCACAACUAUGCAGCAGUUACGAAACUUGUCCCAACAUCAGUCAUUGCUUCAACUACUCAAAAGCAGCCAGUGGUUAUAACUGCUUCUCAGUCCUCUUUGGUCAGUAGCAGCAGCAGCAGUAGCUGUUCCACUCCCUCCUGUACUGCAAAUACUAUUGCUGUGACUGCUGUGGUAUCAUCAACGCCGUCAGUGGUUAUGUCAACAGUAGCACAAGGUGUGUCUACAUCGGCAAUUAAAGUUGCCUCUACCAGACUACCUUCCCCAAAAGGUUUGGUUGGGAAUCCAACUCAGAUCUUAGCACAGUUUCCCAAACAGCAUCAGCAGUCCCCCAAACAGCAGCUGCACCAAAUACAACAGGCCCAACAGCAGCAGCAGCAACAGCAACAACAACAACAACAGCAACAACAACAACAGCAGCAGCAACAACAGCAGCUGGUGCAGUCUUCUGUAGCUCAACAGCAGCCGCAGCAAUCUCAGUUGCCGCCUGGCAUCAAGCCCACCAUUCAGAUCAAACAGGAAUCAGGUGUUAAAAUAAUCACUCAACAGGUGCAGCCCAGUAAAAUCCUUCCCAAACCAGUUACAGCGACCUUGCCCAGCAGUAGCAAUUCACCUAUUAUGGUGGUUAGCAGUAAUGGGACUAUCAUGACAACUAAACUGGUCACUACUCCCACUGGAACUCAAGCAACAUAUACGCGGCCAACGGUUAGCCCCUCUAUAGGGGCUCGGAUGGCUGGAACUCCAGGGGCUGCUACUUAUGUGAAAACUACAAGUGGUAGCAUCAUUACCGUAGUACCAAAAUCACUGGCUACACUGGGAGGGAAGAUUAUCAGCAGUAAUAUUGUUUCUGGAACUACAACCAAAAUCACUACCAUUCCAAUGACAUCCAAACCCAAUGUGAUUGUUGUGCAGAAGACUACUGGGAAAGGAACUACAAUUCAAGGGCUUCCAGGCAAAAAUGUUGUCACAACGCUGUUGAAUGCUGGGGGGGAGAAAACUAUUCAGGCGGUACCAGCAGGAGCAAAGCCUGCUAUCAUCACUGCCACAAGACCCAUCACAAAAAUGAUUGUUACACAGCCAAAAGGAAUAGGGUCCACGGUCCAGCCAGCCACCAAAAUCAUCCCAACUAAAAUUGUUUAUGGUCAGCAAGGGAAAACACAGGUUCUCAUAAAACCAAAGCCAGUGACAUUUCAAGCAACAGUUGUGAGUGAACAAACUAGGCAGUUGGUGACUGAAACGUUACAGCAGGCAUCAAGGGUAGCAGAGACAGGAAACUCAUCUCUCCCAGAAGUGAAAGAAGAACCACAAACCUACACUGAUAGCAGCUCUUCUUCUACAGAGUCCUCCCAGAGCUCCCAAGAUUCUCAGCCAGUAGUCCACGUGAUCGCUUCAAGAAGUCAAGAUUGGUCAGAACACGAAAUUGCUGUGGACACAAGCCCUACAAUAAUUUACCAGGAUGUAUCCAGUGAAUCUCAGUCAGCUACUUCCACCAUAAAAGCUUUGCUGGAACUUCAGCAGACUACAGCAGUGAAGGAAAAGUUAGAAUCGAAGCCAAGGCAGCCUACCAUUGACUUGAGCCAAAUGGCUGUCCCAAUCCAGAUGACCCAAGAAAAGAGGCAUUCUCCAGAAAGUCCUUCAAUUGCUGUAGUCGAGUCGGAAUUAGUUGCUGAAUAUAUCACAACUGACUCAGGAAGACAACACUGUAUUGGUUCACAUUCGGAAGAAUAUCUACACAACCAUAUAGUCAGUCAUCGGUCCCAGCCCCACCAGCAGUCAUCUCAGCCCCAGAGGACCCUGCUGCAGCAUGUGGCUCAGUCGCAGACAGCAACGCAGACUUCUGUGGUGGUGAAAUCUCUCCCUGCAUCCUCCACAGGCGCAAUUACCCAUAUCAUGCAGCAGGCCUUAAGCAGUCACACUGCAUUUACCAAACACAGUGAACAACUUGGAACUGAGGAAGGAGAAGUGGAAGAGAUGGACACCUUAGAUCCUCAGACUGGCCUGUUUUACAGAUCUGCCCUGACACAAUCGCAGACACAAAAACAGCAAAAACUGAGUCAGCCACAGCUGGAACAGACUCAACUGCAAGUGAAAACUCUGCAGUGUUUCCAGACUAAGCAGAAGCAGACAAUCCACCUGCAGGCCGACCAAAUCCAGCACAAACUCCCACAAAUGCCCCAGCUUUCUAUAAGGCAUCAAAAGCUAACCCCCCUGCAGCAAGAGCAAGCACAGACCAAACCAGAUGCACAGCACCCCCCACACCACAUGAUGGCCAAAGAAAGGCAACUCCCUACCUUAGUGGCACAGCCACAGCAAACUGUAGUACAGGUGCUUGCAGUAAAAACCACGCAGCAGCUGCCCAAACUGCAACAGGCACCAACGGCACAAAAAAUCUACGUGCAACCCCAACCCCCCCAGAGUCAAAUGCAGCUACCUGCCUCUUCAGAGAAACAGCCAGCAAGCCAGGUGCAGCAUCCAAUUAUCACGCAAGGAUCCACUGUUACAAAGAUAACUUUUGAGGGGCGUCAGCCUCCUUCUGUUUCAAAGGUAGCAGGUGGCAGUUCUGUGCCCAAACUGGCGUUGCCGGUUACCAGCCUAUUUCCCAUGCAGGCAUCCGCGAAGACAGCAGUAGCAGAUAUUUUGAGAGUGUCUGUGGUGGAAGCUCAGAUUGAUACAAACGUAGAACAUACGAUAGUGGAUCCCCCAAACAAGGCCAUGUCCACUAGUAAGCUCGCUAGCGAAGCAGAGUCGUCACCUUGUACCCAGGUGCCGAGGGUGACUGCAGUAGGGAUGACGGCAACUUCCAUCCCCCAGCAACAGACACGUGCAGAAUCCAGUUCCAGUCCUCCUGCUGUUGGUCCUACUUUAACAGAGAGGAAACUCGAUGCACAAGGAAUGCCUACAACAAACCAGUUUAUACACAUUCAGAAUAUAUCACAAAAGAAAGCUGAAGAGAGUUCAUCAGAAAUUGUUAUCCAGACUAUCCCUCACUAUUCCAUCCCUUGUCACUCCAGCUCCAACGUGGUAGUGGAACCCAGCGGGCUCCUGGAGCUCAACAACUUCACCAGUCAGUGCCUCGAUGACGAGGAGACGGCAAUGGAGCAAGAUGUGGACAGUAGCACUGAGGACGGCACUGAGCCCAGCCCCUCUCGAAGUUCUGCUGAACAAUCCUAAGGAAUUGGGACACUGGAGUGCACUUUAAAAUAUCUUGGGAUUUUGAGUAUCCAAGAUGCCCUCGUAUUGUGAUGUUUUAGAGCACUUUGCCUAUUAGAGUUGUUCAUUGGACCCUUGAAGCAUCAGUGUGUUUUAACAAGACGGUAUUGCAAAAGCUGCAUCUUAAAAAUUGUUUCCAAAAAAAAAAAGGAAAAAAAAAAAAAAAAAAAAAAAAAAAAAAGAUGUAGUUACCAAGAUUUAGUAAACCUGUGACAGUGGAAUGUACUCCUGUUAAAAAGCAAAUCUGCAGCGAAUUCUACAGCUCGUGCGAUUGAAGCCCUUGCCCAGAUACUGAAACAGCUUUCAGUGAAAAGGGUUCAUUAUUUUGCUGUGUCUUUUUGUUAGCUGUUGAGCAAAACACCAUCAAAAACAAACAAAAAAAAAGAGAAUGUUUAAUAAAUAUUUGUAUUUUUAAAUAGCAUGUGAGAGAAAAAGUGUCUCUGACAGUGCUGGAAAAGCCCCAGGAAUUUUGGAAUUGGUUCGCUUUCUUGCACUUGUGCUCACUUAGAGUUAAGAUUUUUUUUUUUUUUCAUAAGCCUAAAAAUAUAGUUUAUUUUUUUUAAAAUUCUUGUUGGUGAAUGUUUGGAAAUAAGCAAAAUCACUAACUGGUAGCAAAGUGGAUUUGCUAGUGGAUUUUUGUUUUCAUGCUUUACCAGAAGUAGGGUAUCAGUAUAUGAGGCAUUUCUUUGUGCCAUAAGCACAUUAAAUGCUCAUCUACCUUAGUUAAUCUUUGAUUAUUUAUUUAAAUAUAAAAUUUAAAGUGAGGCCAAGUUUAAAAAGUUCCUGUGAAACAGGCAGGUGUGUUAAUUCUAAUACAGAUGGGGGGGGGCGAUGAUGUGUUUUGCUACAAAUCAGUUUUUCAAAACUGGGGAUAUGUGGUUCAGCGUCUUUCCAAGUUGAACCUCCGAAUUUAGAAGUGAGUUAAGGCUUUUAAAAAUCUGUAUUUUACUCUUACAUGCUGUUUUUAAAGCGACCGUCGGGGGAGUUUAAAAGCUUAAAUCGGUAUACAGUGGUAGGUUUCGGAAAUUAGCCUUACGACUUGGCUUGUUGAAGCAAUACAUUGGGGUUUUGUGAUGGUUACAAGCCACAGAGAGAAGUCUGGGUUCGGAUGGGAUAAGAGAACCAGUUUUAAUACAUUCUGCUAAUGAAGACAAUACUUUUUUUUUUUUUCCAAAUGUAUAUAAAAACACGUUUUUAACUGUUUUGUAUAGAUUUCAUUAUAAAUAACUAAGCAUUUUAAGACUUUGACAUAUCAUUUAAUUGUAUAUACAUCUAUCAGCCUAACUGCCCACUUUUUGGUGCUGAAGUACUACUGUAAGUAGAUUUCCUCCAAAGCCUAAUACAGCUUUUUGCGUCAAGUCUUUUUUUUUAAGCUGUGAUUUUACUGUCAAUCCUGUAGUUAAGAUUGAAUUCCAACUAGAGGAACUCAAACAAAAUAUACAAAACCUAAAAACCCAUUUAUUUUCCUUGUCCUGAGAAUCCACCUAUGUGAGAACGUAGAGUAACCCAUAGAUGGUGCUGUUGGUUUUUCAUCCAACCUCCGUUAAUUUAUAAACUUAAGUCCCUAUGACUUUCAUACACUUUUUUUUUUUUCCUCCGCCUUCUGUUUUCUUUUCCAUCAGCAUUAGUUCCAAAAUAAUGUAGUUUAUUGUGGUGGAGAAAGUGUCCUGAUAAAUUCAACGCGCAAAUGCCGGAAUAGCGGGGUAGGAAACUUCAUUAUUUUUGCGUUACUUUGAUGUUGGAAUAGGUAUUGGUUUAGUUUCUGCUGUACUUAAUGCUCAGGAUGGAAGAGAAUAAUAUAUAUUAAAUGAAACAUAGCAUAUUUCUUUCUGUAGUUAAAAAACCCCAACAAAACUCAACCCUCUCAGCAUGCCAUUCUAGGUGUUUCAGGUUUUGAUAGAUGUUUGGGAGCGGUUACUCUUGUUUUAGCGAGAUAAUGGUGACCAACAAGAGUGACCAAGUUACGAUCUAAGUCCUGCAAGUUCCAGGUUGCUACAGAAUGGCAAAAAGAGAUUAUUGCCCCAGAUUCUACUGCUGGUGGGGUUGGACAGUCCGUUGUGCUUCGCAGGUGCCGGCGUACGGCACGGUCUGUCGUGUUCCGUACACAGUUACGAAAAGCCGAAAGCAGAUGGCACGCGGUUCCUCUGGCUUGUAUCAAAUUUUCAUUGUCACCUGGGGUCUCGCAGUAGAGUGUCCCUGGCCUAUCUACCACUGAAAGGCCAUGAGGAUAUGAAGUAGAGCAAGAUUUUUUUUCUGAGCACUUUUACCCAAGAACUUUGCCUUAAGUUACGGUUCCAGGUUUAGGUGAAGGCAUAUGCUCUCUCCAGCCAAAAAAAAGGAUGCUAAGAAAUGGCACAAGGUGAACACGACACUCCUAAUGCAUUAAGCAGAUUGUUGAGCUCUGAUCCAAUUUAUUCCCAUGUUUUAUGUAAGACUUUCGUUGGCAUCUUUAGUGAUGACUGUACAGCAAUGGCACGAACAACUGCAGUGAACUCUUUGACACUUCCUUGAAGGCAGCCGAUCUCUUAAAGAACACAAAAGCUUUCAGUGUUGCUAGGAGAGGUUUUCAGAUUGGCAAACUGAAGCACGUGGUGGGGGUAUCUAGGGGUCAGCUUUCCAUCUCUCAGUAAAUUUUUAGCCGUUUUGAAAUUUUCUGGGAUCCCGUUUUCUGUAGCUGCCUUUAUGAAAUGGCUUUUGUCAAAGAGAAAAGAUGUUCGUAUCCUCUAACUGGAGGUGAGGGAUUAGAACCUUGGGCUCUUUGCAUUAGCACUGAACCCUUCAGAGGGUGGUGGGCACGUCAGCCAGUCUCUCAUGGGCGCCGUAUGGGAUUUGGACCAUAGAAUGGUUUGAGUUGGGAGGGACCUCUGAAGCUCAUCUAAUCAAGGCACUUGAAUGCCAAAGCUACCUAGCGUGAAUCCUCCGUCAUGGAGCUUUUGCUAAAACUUUGAAAAUUCUCAGUGUGAGCACCUAAUUUAUUACUCGUUGGAGCAAAUGCUGUUGAGGAAUCGCUGUCUUUUGUGGUAAUGAAUCCAGCUUUUUGCAGCUGUCAGCCAGAGCCAUCCCGGAGGCUGGUAGGACUCCAAUACUUCAGGACUUCCUUCAUGUCGGUCUCUGCCAGAGGCCGUGUAAAGAUGCUGGAAGUCUCUUUGCACAGGUUUUUAUUGCUGUGAAGGGUGCUGCUUUUUUUAAUAUGUACAUACGGUGUGCGUAAGAGGCUGGUUGUCUCUAGAGAGGACAGCGCGUCUGUCUGUAGCCAUCACCGUGGCCGUUGACUGCCUCUGUAAGUGUAAACCCUUUGAGCUGCAUGUUCGGUAAGGCCAGGCUUUUCCUGCAGACUAAUUAAUCCUCAACUGCCAAGCUACUCUUUGAUAUUGCAGCCUUUUAUAAAAGGCAAAGCAAGCACACGUGCGGGGUAUCUUUUGCUCGGUGUCUGUUUCAGGCCUCUGUUUUCUUAAUUCUCUUUGUUCCCAGGAAGCUGCUUUCCCCGUAAGUUUAGUCCAGACCUGUAUUCUGUUCUGUUAUCACCCAUCCUUCUUGCGAGAAGAUAAAAGCUGUGUGUAAAUUCCAUAAUCUCCGUGGAGAGAAUGGGAAUGCUCGCAUCCCUUCCUUGCAAGAAACUUCCUGGUGCCCAAGACCUGAAUAUAGGAAAGGGCUGGGAAUGGUUCUUCAUGCACUCGUGUGGUCGGCAAAGUUGGCAGGAACCUCUGGAGAUCAUCUAGUCCAACCCUCUUUCUCAAAGCAGAGUGACCCGGGGCAGGUUGCUCAGGACCAUGUCCAGCUGGGUUUUUGGAAAUCUCCCGUAUUGGAAACUCAACCAGUGUUUGAUCACCCACACAUUCUUCUUUUUUUUUUUUUUUUUCCUAGUGUUUAAGUGGAAUUUCAUGGGUUUGAGUUUAUGCCCAUUAUCUCUUGUCCUUUCCUUGGUUACCACUGGGAAAAGUCCGUCUCCGUCUUCUUUACACCCCCGUUGGGUAUUUAUACACAUGGAGGGGUUCCCCUUUCAGCCUUAUGCCCACAGGAUGGCUGCAAAACCAGUGAUACAAAAUUCUUUGAGAAAUCACCUUUGGUUUAAGUUUCAAUAACCUGGCCCAAGACGUGACGCUUGUCUCAGCGGUGUUUGGCUUCUGACUUGAGUCCCCGCUGGUGGGAGGAUUUCAGCUGCAAGCCGUGCAAAAUCUGCUGCUUCCAGAGCUCUGGGAAAUAACCAUUAUAACCAGUUAUAACCAUUGCCGGGGCAGCUCGGAGGGAUGGUAGCCACGGGCUUUUGGGAGCGUGAAAAUAACACUGGGAGAUAGUUUGAAAUCAUACCCAGAGAGGCUGGAAUAAGAUUUUCCUGUCACAUGGAGAAGAUCUACCUCCUCCCAGCAUCAGGAUCAGGCACUUUCUAUGGGGUGUCUACAUGUCCCAGAGGCUGAAAACCAGGACUUUGUUCAAGGUUACAGACUUAUCCAGAAAUUAGUUUCUCCCAGAGAUACAAGAACUCAUUAUCUUAUGGGGUUUUUUUAUUUAUUUUAUUCUCUGGUGGGGUAUUUUUUUGUUUGUUUCCUGUCAAGAUUUUUGUUCUUUGUUUGAACUAAAUGUCACAGGGAGAUGUCAUAGCAAGCCUGGGCUAUUUAUAGUGGAAAGCAGCAGUAUCUUGACUUUCAAAGCCUCUAGCACAGAAUUAAAAGUGCAACUUUUCUGGUCAGGAAAUGGCAAAGGUUUGUUUGAAAUAAGCAGUAAAAGCAGAGCCUGGAGUAGAAACAGCAGCUUGGAGGUACUGUGAGGGAGGGGGAGUGCCUUUUUGGACACUGGCUCUGCGUAAAGCAAUACUGAUCCUGAGCCAAAUGUGAGAUUUUUUUAUAUUUUUUUUUUCUGUUGU
This is an RNA transcript of Egretta garzetta (little egret), 9333 nucleotides long. It is a transcript of the gene named EMSY transcriptional repressor, BRCA2 interacting, with no coding region annotated. The transcript is spliced from 21 exons. The record is from RefSeq and is a predicted model, not a curated record. Lineage: Eukaryota; Metazoa; Chordata; Aves; Pelecaniformes; Ardeidae.